AUUGAACGCUGGCGGCAUGCCUUACACAUGCAAGUCGAACGGUAACAGGUUAAGCUGACGAGUGGCGAACGGGUGAGUAAUAUAUCGGAACGUGCCCAGUCGUGGGGGAUAACGUAGCGAAAGCUACGCUAAUACCGCAUACGAUCUACGGAUGAAAGCGGGGGAUCGCAAGAACUAGCGCGAUUGGAGCGGCCGAUAUCAGAUUAGGGUGUUGGUGAGGUAAAAGCUCACCAAGCCGGCGAUCUGUAGCUUGUCUGAGAGGACGACCAGCCACACUGGAACUGGGACACGGUCCAGACUCCUACGGGAGGCAGCAGUGGGGAAUUUUGGACAAUGGACGCAAGUCUGAUCCAGCAAUGCCGCGUGCAGGACGAAGGCCUUCGGGUUGUAAACUGCUUUUGUACGGAACGAAACGGUGAGCUCUAAUACAGUUUGCUAAUGACGGUACCGUAAGAAUAAGCACCGGCUAACUACGUGCCAGCCGCCGCAGUAA
RNAcentral lists this ribosomal RNA (493 nucleotides) under uncultured bacterium. RNAcentral describes it as "partial 16S ribosomal RNA". It matches the Rfam family "Bacterial small subunit ribosomal RNA", at positions 30 to 523 of the family's 1533-position model. The record is from RNAcentral.